AGUGAACGCUGGCGGUAGGCCUAACACAUGCAAGUCGAACGGCAGCACAGUAAGAGCUUGCUCUUACGGGUGGCGAGUGGCGGACGGGUGAGGAAUACAUCGGAAUCUACUUUUUCGUGGGGGAUAACGUAGGGAAACUUACGCUAAUACCGCAUGCGACCUACGGGUGAAAGCAGGGGAUCUUCGGACCUUGCGCGAUUGAAUGAGCCGAUGUCGGAUUAGCUAGUUGGCGGGGUAAAGGCCCACCAAGGCGACGAUCCGUAGCUGGUCUGAGAGGAUGAUCAGCCACACUGGAACUGAGACACGGUCCAGACUCCUACGGGAGGCAGCAGUGGGGAAUAUUGGACAAUGGGCGCAAGCCUGAUCCAGCCACACCGCGUGGGUGAAGAAGGCCUUCGGGUUGUAAAGCCCUUUUGUUGGGAAAGAAAAGCAGCAGGUUAAUACCCCGCUGUUCUGACGGUACCCAAAGAAUAAGCACCGGCUAACUUCGUG
This 492-nucleotide ribosomal RNA is filed under the name uncultured bacterium. RNAcentral's name for it is "partial 16S ribosomal RNA". It matches the Rfam family "Bacterial small subunit ribosomal RNA", at positions 29 to 507 of the family's 1533-position model. The record is from RNAcentral.